UACGUAGGGUGCGAGCGUUGUCCGGAAUUAUUGGGCGUAAAGAGCUCGUAGGCGGUCUGUCGCGUCGAUCGUGAAAACUUGGGGCUUAACCCUGAGCUUGCGGUCGAUACGGGCAUGACUGGAGUUCGGCAGGGGAGACUGGAAUUCCUGGUGUAGCGGUGAAAUGCGUAGAUAUCGGGAGGAACACCUGUGGCGAAAGCGGCUCACUGGACCAUAACUGACGCUGAUGCACGAAAGCUGGGGGAGCAAACAGG
RNAcentral lists this ribosomal RNA (254 nucleotides) under uncultured bacterium. RNAcentral's name for it is "partial 16S ribosomal RNA". It matches the Rfam family "Bacterial small subunit ribosomal RNA", at positions 524 to 776 of the family's 1533-position model. The record is from RNAcentral.